CAGCAGCCGCGGGAAUACGUAGGGGGCGAGCGUUGUCCGAAGUUACUGGGCGUAAAGAGCGCGUAGGCUGGUCUUUAAGUGAGUGGUGAAAGGUUCGGGCUCAACCCGGACACUGCCUUUCAUACUGGGGACCUUGAGUGUGGGAGAGGCGAGUGGAAUGGUCGGUGUAGCGGUGAAAUGCGUAGAUAUCGAUCGGAACACCCAUGGCGAAGGCAGCUCGCUGGCCUAACACUGACGCUGAGGCGCGAAAGCGUGGGGAGCAAACAGGAUUAGAUACCCCAGUAGUCCCUGUCUCUUAUAC
RNAcentral lists this ribosomal RNA (301 nucleotides) under uncultured bacterium. RNAcentral's name for it is "partial 16S ribosomal RNA". It matches the Rfam family "Bacterial small subunit ribosomal RNA", at positions 509 to 807 of the family's 1533-position model. The record is from RNAcentral.